RNAcentral lists this ribosomal RNA (429 nucleotides) under bacterium. RNAcentral describes it as "partial 16S ribosomal RNA". It matches the Rfam family "Bacterial small subunit ribosomal RNA", at positions 355 to 776 of the family's 1533-position model. The record is from RNAcentral.
UGGGGAAUCUUCCGCAAUGGGCGCAAGCCUGACGGAGCAACGCCGCGUGAGUGAAGAAGGUCUUCGGAUCGUAAAGCUCUGUUGAUGGGGACGAACGUGCCUAAUGCGAAUAGUAUUAGGUAAUGACGGUACCCAUCGAGGAAGCCACGGCUAACUACGUGCCAGCAGCCGCGGUAAUACGUAGGUGGCGAGCGUUGUCCGGAAUCAUUGGGCGUAAAGGGAGCGCAGGCGGGCAUGUAAGUCUUUCUUAAAAGUGCGGGGCUCAACCCCGUGAUGGGAAAGAAACUAUGUGUCUUGAGUACAGGAGAGGGAAGCGGAAUUCCCAGUGUAGCGGUGAAAUGCGUAGAUAUUGGGAGGAACACCAGUGGCGAAGGCGGCUUUCUGGACUGCAACUGACGCUGAGGCUCGAAAGCCAGGGGAGCGAACGGG